Molecule: ribosomal RNA, 497 nt
Filed under: uncultured bacterium
Lineage: Bacteria
Description: partial 16S ribosomal RNA
Rfam family: Bacterial small subunit ribosomal RNA
Source: RNAcentral
GAUGAACGCUGGCGGCGUGCCUAAUACAUGCAAGUCGAGCGAACAGACGAGGAGCUUGCUCCUCUGACGUUAGCGGCGGACGGGUGAGUAACACGUAGAUAACCUACCUAUAAGACUGGGAUAACUUCGGGAAACCGGAGCUAAUACCGGAUAAUAUAUUGAACCGCAUGGUUCAAUAGUGAAAGACGGUUUUGCUGUCACUUAUAGAUGGAUCCGCGCCGCAUUAGCUAGUUGGUAAGGUAACGGCUUACCAAGGCGACGAUGCGUAGCCGACCUGAGAGGGUGAUCGGCCACACUGGAACUGAGACACGGUCCAGACUCCUACGGGAGGCAGCAGUAGGGAAUCUUCGGCAAUGGGCGAAAGCCUGACGGAGCAACGCCGCGUGAGUGAUGAAGGUCUUCGGAUCGUAAAACUCUGUUAUUAGGGAAGAACAAAUGUGUAAGUAACUAUGCACGUCUUGACGGUACCUAAUCAGAAAGCCACGGCUAACUACGUG